Long non-coding RNA from Rhipicephalus sanguineus (brown dog tick), 1321 nucleotides. RefSeq lists it as uncharacterized. Lineage: Eukaryota; Metazoa; Arthropoda; Arachnida; Ixodida; Ixodidae. The record is from RefSeq and is a predicted model, not a curated record. The transcript has 3 exons.
GAAAAAAUUUGGUGGGAUAAGCUUGCCAGACACGCUCAAGAGAAUAAUAAGAGACAUGCUCUAGGAUGAGGUGGCUACAAACUACAGUUGGCAAGGUGCCAAAGGAAAGUUACACUUCAGUAAGACAGCAUGCUGCCAAAUCCUGCUUGAAAUCGCUGCUGCCAGCCCACAGUCCCUUGGUAGGACAACUUCUGACAUUGAACAAGUCAUAAAAUCGUGGCUGGGGCAUUCCAAGGAACGCCUAUUGAAGAAAAAAGGGACGUCAGUGCCUGAAAAGUCACCUCCAAGGCAUCAACAAGACAUUGAAGCUUUAGAUGGACACGACCCGACUGAGUGCGACACUCGCUAAAGGCGUGCAUGUCAUGUACUGUCGAUAUAUUUAUUUAUUUUAUUUAUUUAUUGAAUACUGCAGACCAAGAAUCGGUCCAAGCAGGACAGGUACAAGAGGCAAGUUAUAUAAUAUCACAUGUUCUUUUUACGUUUGUGUGUUUUUACAUUUACGCUCUUACAUUUGUGUCCUCUGCUGUACAUGCCGAUACAUAUUUUUUUAGAUUUCAAUUUUAGCUUAUAUAUGUGACUUUUUGUUUUCUUUUUGUACAGCACACUGUCUCAUCCAUAUUGCUCUCACUUUUUGUGACAUGAAGAGACAUGCAGUGGUCAUAUCUAUGCUGUCUUCAAGUUUCGUGUAUAAGAGUGAAACUUUCAAGUUUCAUUCUUGUUAUUGUUUCGAGUUUUGUCUUGACAGGCUUACUGAAGCUGAGAAGGAAAGAAGCGCCUGGUAUUUGUCUGUGGCCCCACCUUUUAUUUGUGCUGCCAUAACUGGACAUCAGUGACCAGAGUGCCUACUGUGUAUCUAUUGAAAGCGCCUUAACCCCCUGAGAGCCUCUUUCGUCAGGUUUGUUAGUGUGAAACAACUAAAUUUAGUUUAUUUGCUCAUAGAUUUCAGCACAAAGGUGCCAAGCGAAAGCACAAAGGCAUUUGUGCAAACAUGCGCCUGGUAAAGCAUGGCAGUGUUUCGUAUCAGCAGUUGUUUCAGACCGUACUAUGCCAAGCAAGUUUAGGACAGCAAAUGUUGUCGUUAGUGUAAUUAAAAGUUGAGUUAACUAAGAUACUUUGUGAAGGUAAGCUUGUGGAAAUGCUAAUGUGAAUGUGCCGAUUUGACUUUUAUGAAAGUUUUGUGCAGGUAGAAGGAAAGCCUUCAUAUGGCACAUGUCUUGCUCUUAUAUCUUUUAUUUUAACCUGAGGAAAAAGCUAUUUUUUCAAUCAGUUCUUUCUUACUCCAAUGAGCAAGGUGUGCAACGUCUUGACACAGUGCAAUGUA